GUGCAAGCUCUUUCAGCCACGGUGAGGAGGAUGAAGCAGAACACUGAGCCUCAUCCUAUCCCAGAAAAUCCAUAGCCGGCUAGGGGAAGAUCGAUAGACCGACCUCCCCAUAGUCUGAGGGUGGGAGCCAGCCGUCUUAGCUACCCCGACAAUCUAGCUCAGUAUAGGCACAGGCGGUCGUCUACUUCGAUCUAGAGGAGGAACUCGACGUCAGGCCAUCUCUUCCCUCGUCACUGCCUAACCCGAGAGGACAAUCUGAAAAGGAGAUUCCAAGAGAUGCAGCAAUAGAUUGACACGCUACAAGCCCUGCAAUGGCUAGAUGUCGACCUGGGACUCAAUACUGACCCAUCGUUCACCCA
Molecule: long non-coding RNA, 359 nt
Filed under: Elaeis guineensis (African oil palm)
Lineage: Eukaryota; Viridiplantae; Streptophyta; Magnoliopsida; Arecales; Arecaceae
Description: long non-coding RNA (EGUI_LNC002705)
Source: RNAcentral